Molecule: long non-coding RNA, 435 nt
Organism: Mauremys reevesii (Reeves's turtle)
Lineage: Eukaryota; Metazoa; Chordata; Testudines; Geoemydidae
Exons: 4
Source: RefSeq, a predicted model, not a curated record
GGCAGCGGGUGUAAAUGAGCGUCAUUCCCCGGGAGUCCGGGCAGCAAAACACACCAGCCGGGGACCCGCCCCGGGGAUUCACACCACAUCCUUAUCACUACAGGCAGCUGUGACAGUUUCAACAUACAGGGCACCAGAGUACAUCCCUGACAGACUCAAAUGGGGCCAGUUCAGAUCCAGAGGAAGGAAGGAGCAACGGAAUUCCAAGUGAGAGACAGAGAGAGCAGGAAAGAACCAAAGAAAAGAAGGAACGAAAAGCGCAGACGGGGAGGAGACAGAUCGGAACCACCGACACGCAGCAAGUGGCAGUGAGUGAGAAAAUGACCGAUCCAUGUCAAGAUGUAUGAAAAAAGGACCUUAUCCAGCAGGAAAAGGGAAUGUUGAGAAAGUCACAGAAAUGACGCAUUAUAUGUAUAUAUUACAUAAAAAUUGUGC